RNAcentral lists this ribosomal RNA (468 nucleotides) under uncultured bacterium. RNAcentral describes it as "partial 16S ribosomal RNA". It matches the Rfam family "Bacterial small subunit ribosomal RNA", at positions 28 to 507 of the family's 1533-position model. The record is from RNAcentral.
GACGAACGCUGGCGGCGUGCUUAACACAUGCAAGUCGAACGGAAAGGCCCUGCUUUUGUGGGGUGCUCGAGUGGCGAACGGGUGAGUAACACGUGAGUAACCUGCCCUUGACUUUGGGAUAACUUCAGGAAACUGGGGGUAAUACCGGAUAGGAGCUCCUGCUGCAUGGUGGGGGUUGGAAAGUUUCGGCGGUUGGGGAUGGACUCGCGGCUUAUCAGGUAGUUGGUGGGGUAGUGGCUUACCAAGGCUUUGAGGGGUAGCCGGCCUGAGAGGGUGACCGGCCACAUUGGAACUGAGAUGCGGCCCAGACUCCUGCGUGAGGCAGCAGUGGGGAAUAUUGCACGAUGGGCGGAAGCCUGAUGCAGCAACGCCGCGUGCGGGAUGACGGCCUUCGGGUUGUAAACCGCUUUCGCCUGUGACGAAGCGUGAGUGACGAUAAUGGGUAAAGAAGCACCGGCUAACUACGUG